AAAUCAUUAAAACUUUCAACAACGGAUCUCUUGGUUCCGGCAUCGAUGAAGAACGCAGCGAAAUGCGAUAAUUAAUGUGAAUUGCAGAAUUCCGUGAAUCAUCGAGUUUUUGAACGCACAUUGCGCCCCCUGGCAUUC
This 138-nucleotide ribosomal RNA is filed under the name Talaromyces crassus. RNAcentral describes it as "5.8S ribosomal RNA". It matches the Rfam family "5.8S ribosomal RNA", at positions 1 to 128 of the family's 154-position model. From Rfam's summary of the family: 5.8S ribosomal RNA (5.8S rRNA) is a component of the large subunit of the eukaryotic ribosome. The record is from RNAcentral. Lineage: Eukaryota; Fungi; Ascomycota; Eurotiomycetes; Eurotiales; Trichocomaceae.